GCAGGACAAGCAUUAAAUAAAAUUGGAACGAGAGAAGAUUAGCAUGACUCCUGGACAAGGAUGACAUGCACAAAUCGAUGUCCAAUUUUUUU
Molecule: small nuclear RNA, 92 nt
Filed under: Nicotiana sylvestris (wood tobacco)
Lineage: Eukaryota; Viridiplantae; Streptophyta; Magnoliopsida; Solanales; Solanaceae
Also listed under: 1 other name
Source: RNAcentral